Long non-coding RNA from Larimichthys crocea (large yellow croaker), 552 nucleotides. RefSeq lists it as uncharacterized. The transcript is spliced from 4 exons. The record is from RefSeq and is a predicted model, not a curated record. NCBI's taxonomy places the organism in Eukaryota, Metazoa, Chordata, Actinopteri, Sciaenidae.
GUCAGUCAGAACUGAAGAUCCUCUGGGUUGAGAUGUGGAUCGUCUUCAUGGAUCUAGGUCAAGGGAGUUGUCCCAGAUUUAACCCUUCUCUAAGAAACAUGACCUGGAUGACAGAACUUUCACAGACUAUGAGACUGAACAGCACUUCACACUCGGCCUCAUGUGACUCCAACGACCAUCGGCCACACCGGAGCUCAGGCUCUGGUGGAACUCUUCAUCCAGGAACUCCAGGUCACUCAGGUCACAUGGGCUGCAUGGGUGCAGGCGAAAAGGGGUCGACAAGGUAUUGAUAAGUUGCCCUAAUCAUAUAAAUCACGGCUGAUUGUAAAGAGGGAGGUUAAAGGUUAAUUGUCCAAUGUGUAACAGGGUAAGAUAGCUUUCCCCAAUGAUAGCUAAAGGCAGUAAACAUGUCUUGUGUGUGUGAUGCAUGACAAGACAAUGUGUUUGCAUUUGCAAUUCUUUAUCUUUCAGGCUGAAACCGAGAGAUAAAAGAGCUUACAGAGACACAAAGAUAAUAAAUGAAGUAGAAAACAGAACCCACUUUUCAUCUUA